RNAcentral lists this ribosomal RNA (1402 nucleotides) under uncultured Bordetella sp. Its description in RNAcentral is "partial 16S-23S ribosomal RNA intergenic spacer". It matches the Rfam family "Bacterial small subunit ribosomal RNA". Lineage: Bacteria; Pseudomonadati; Pseudomonadota; Betaproteobacteria; Burkholderiales; Alcaligenaceae. The record is from RNAcentral.
GGUUCGAUUAUGGCUCAGAUUGAACGCUGGCGGGAUGCUUUACACAUGUGUCGAACGGUGCGUCGGACUUCAGUCUGGUGCGAGUGGCGAACGAGAGCCGCAUUUGAACGCCCAUAGCGGGGAUAACUACGCGAAAGCGUAGCUAAUACCGCAUACACCCUUCGGGGGAAAGCGGGGGACCUUGGGCCUCGCACUAGAGCGGCCGAUAUCGGAUUAGCUAGUUGGUGGGGUAACGGCUCACCAAGGCGACGAUCCGUAGCUGGUCAGUAUCGACCAGCCACACUGGGACUGAGACACGGCCUAUAGACUCCUACGGAGCAGCAGGGAAUUUUGGACAAUGGGGGAAACCCUGAUCCAGCCAUCCUGGCGUGUGCGAUGAAGGCCUCGGGUUGUAAAGCACUUUUGGUGAAGAAACGGCACGGGAUAAUACCCUGCAACUGACGGUACCUGCAGAAUAAGCACCGGCUAAUACGUACCAGCAGCCGCGGUAAUACGAAGGCGUUAAUCGGAAUUACCGGGCGCAAAAGCGUGCGCAGGCGGUUCGAAAGAAGAUGUGGAAAUCCUGAGCUUAACUUUGAACUGCAUUUUAACUGAGCUAGAGUGUGUCGAUAGGUAAUUCCGCAGUGAAACGCGUGAUAUGCGGAGGAACACCGAUGCAGUAAAGGCAGCCUGGAUACGCACUGACGCUCAUGCACGAAAGCGUGGGGAGCAAACAGAUUAGAUACCCUGGUAGUCCACGCCCUAAACGAUGUCACAGCUGUUGGGGCCUUCGGGCCUUGCAGCAGCUAACGCGUGAAGUUGACCGCCUGGGGCAUGGUCGUAAGAUUAAAACCAAAGGAAUUGACGGGGACCCGCACAAGCGGUGGAUGAUGUGGAUUAAUUCGAUGCAACACGAAAACCUUUACCUACCCUUGACAUGUCUGAACUUGAAGAGAUUUGGGAGUGUUUGCAGAGAACCGGAACACAGGUGUUGUAUGGCUGUUGCCAAAUGCUGUGUCGUGAGAUGUUGGGUUAAGUCCUGCAUCGAUGCAACCCCAUUAGUUGCUACGAAAGGGCACCUAAUGAGACUGCCGGUGACAAAACCGGAGGAAGGUGGGAUGACAGCCCCAGUGGCCCUUAUGGGUAGGGCUUCACACUCAAGGCUUGUUCGGGACGAGGGUCGCCAACCCGCGAGGGGGAGCCAAUCCCAGAAACCCGAUCGUAGUCCGAUCGCACGUCUGCAACCUCGACUGCGUGAAGUCGGAAUCAAGCAGCAAUCGCAGACGCAUAUUGCGUGAGCAACGGGCCUGGGCACACCGCCCGUCACACCGUUGGAGUGGGUUUACCAGAAGUAGUUAGCCUAACUGCAAGGAGGGCGAUUACCACGGUAGGAUUCAUGACUGGGGUGGUCGUAACAAGGUAG